RNAcentral lists this ribosomal RNA (620 nucleotides) under uncultured bacterium. Its description in RNAcentral is "bacterial SSU rRNA". It matches the Rfam family "Bacterial small subunit ribosomal RNA", at positions 73 to 716 of the family's 1533-position model. The record is from RNAcentral.
GCCUAGCUUGCUAAGCUUGUUUUUAGUGGCGCACGGGUGAGUAACACGUGAGUUACCUGCCCCCAAGAGUGGGAUAGCCCCGGGAAACUGGGAUUAAUACCGCAUAAUAUCGCAAGAUUAAAGGUGCAAACCGCUUGGGGAUGGGCUCGCGGCCUAUUAGUUAGUUGGUGAGGUAACGGCUCACCAAGGCGAUGACGGGUAGCCGGUCUGAGAGGAUGUCCGGCCACACUGGAAUUGAGACACGGUCCAGACACCUACGGGUGGCAGCAGUCGAGAAUCAUUCACAAUGGGGGAAACCCUGAUGGUGCGACGCCGCGUGGGGGAGCGAAGGUCUUCGGAUUGUAAACCCCUGUCAAGUGGGAGCAAAUUAAAAAGAUAGUACCACUAGAGGAAGAGACGGCUAACUCUGUGCCAGCAGCCGCGGUAAUACAGAGGUCUCAAGCGUUGUUCGGAAUCACUGGGCGUAAAGCGUACGUAGGCGGCUUGGUAAGUCGUGUGUGAAAGGCAGGGGCUCAACCUCUGGACUGCACAUGAUACUGCCAGGCUAGAGUAAUGGAGGGGAAACCGGAAUUCUCGGUGUAGCAGUGAAAUGCGUAGAUAUCGAGAGGAACACUCGUGGC